This is a long non-coding RNA of Amphibalanus amphitrite, 1023 nucleotides long. RefSeq lists it as uncharacterized. The transcript is spliced from 2 exons. NCBI's taxonomy places the organism in Eukaryota, Metazoa, Arthropoda, Thecostraca, Balanomorpha, Balanidae. The record is from RefSeq and is a predicted model, not a curated record.
AUGUAUAUUUGAAAGCAUUACCAUGUAUAAUGUGCAAAUGUUGACACGCACUUGAAUGAUUGUACGUACUGAUCGACCUUAUCCAACGAGAACCAUAUCAAAAGAUGCACGUUUUGUAUUCCGUUUGAAUCGGCUUUGUUUCGCUGCUUAAUUGCUAUUCUUAUUCUGAUGACGGUGCAAUAUCGAAAUAUAUCAAUUUAGUUUUAAUUAUAUCAAUUUGCAACAUAUAACAUGAGCAUAAGGUUAUUCACUCUAUUUACAUUAUUAAUCAUGCUCAGAAAUACCAUAGCUUACCUCCAAGAAAUUCAAUCUUUAUCUAACCAUCCGCUUUAUCGUCAAAUUGUCCAGAUGAUGCGUAUGUAAUGACUGAAUAAGUAAAACAAUACAUCGAGAUUAAAAAAGAUAACAAGGCCCAAGAAAAUUGGUGUGCUGGUGGGUCUGGCAGCGAACAUUGCAGAACCGGGACGAACUGGCCUGUCUGUUCACUUGCCCGAACAGAAUCAUGAACAGAUGAUGAUAGUAAAGCUGCGUACAAACAACAGCGGCGUGCUAACGCUGUCAAAAUCAGCGCUAGCAGCGUGCUCGGAACAGCCAACACUCAUAAUGCCUCAGUAAGGUAGGUACUAACAAGCAACAGCAAUCGCCCACAGCUGUGCCGAAAGCUGACUUCAGACGGGACACAACGGACGAAACUCAGACGAAAGACGAGGGACGGCAGACGAUCGGGACGAGCUCACUGCUCGGGACUGCUGUCCUUGAUGGCCUGGAUCAGCUCAGCGGAGCCGUACUGGCAUGCGUGGAAGGUCUCGGCGCACACCUCCACAGAUCCGGCGCGGCUUCCCAGGUCGGCAGCCGCGUCAUACGCCAGCUUCGGCGAGUCGGGACGGCCCGAGCUGGGUACGUUCGAGCUGCAGAGAGAGAAAAUAAUCGUCAGCGGGCGCUUCUGGUUGUUUGCCAGACUGGAGGGCAGGUUUAGUAUGUAAGCAGCAGAAGAGGCGUGGUGGAAUUUAUUGCUUUCUUUUA